Molecule: ribosomal RNA, 183 nt
Filed under: Triticum aestivum (bread wheat)
Lineage: Eukaryota; Viridiplantae; Streptophyta; Magnoliopsida; Poales; Poaceae
Description: partial small subunit ribosomal RNA
Source: RNAcentral
AUGAAGGAGGGGAUUGCUACAGCCAGUGCCAUACAGAUACAAGACAUGGAGCCGAAUGUGUUCAACGCCUUGCUCGAUUUCGUCUACACCGACUCGAUGCCCAAGAUGGAGGUGGCAGGGGAAGUCGGCGCUGAGGUUACGUGGCUGCGACACUUGCUUGCCGCGGCGGAUAGCUUCAGCUAA